RNAcentral lists this ribosomal RNA (380 nucleotides) under Staphylococcus cohnii. RNAcentral describes it as "bacterial SSU rRNA". It matches the Rfam family "Bacterial small subunit ribosomal RNA", at positions 1004 to 1383 of the family's 1533-position model. The record is from RNAcentral. Lineage: Bacteria; Bacillati; Bacillota; Bacilli; Caryophanales; Staphylococcaceae.
AGAUAGAGCCUUCCCCUUCGGGGGACAAAGUGACAGGUGGUGCAUGGUUGUCGUCAGCUCGUGUCGUGAGAUGUUGGGUUAAGUCCCGCAACGAGCGCAACCCUUAAGCUUAGUUGCCAGCAUUAAGUUGGGCACUCUAAGUUGACUGCCGGUGACAAACCGGAGGAAGGUGGGGAUGACGUCAAAUCAUCAUGCCCCUUAUGAUUUGGGCUACACACGUGCUACAAUGGACAAUACAAAGGGCAGCUAAACCGCGAGGUCAUGCAAAUCCCAUAAAGUUGUUCUCAGUUCGGAUUGUAGUCUGCAACUCGACUACAUGAAGCUGGAAUCGCUAGUAAUCGUAGAUCAGCAUGCUACGGUGAAUACGUUCCCGGGUCUUG